This 691-nucleotide ribosomal RNA is filed under the name Pectobacterium carotovorum subsp. carotovorum. RNAcentral describes it as "bacterial SSU rRNA". It matches the Rfam family "Bacterial small subunit ribosomal RNA", at positions 83 to 781 of the family's 1533-position model. Lineage: Bacteria; Pseudomonadati; Pseudomonadota; Gammaproteobacteria; Enterobacterales; Pectobacteriaceae. The record is from RNAcentral.
UUAAGGGUGAGAGCGGCGGACGGGUGAGUAAUGUCUGGGAAACUGCCUGAUGGAGGGGGAUAACUACUGGAAACGGUAGCUAAUAACGUCUUCGGACCAAAGAGGGGGACCUUCGGGCCUCUUGCCAUCAGAUGUGCCCAGAUGGGACUAGUAGGUGAGGUAAUGGCUCACCUAGGCGACGAUCCCUAGCUGGUCUGAGAGGAUGACCAGCCACACUGGAACUGAGACACGGUCCAGACUCCUACGGGAGGCAGCAGUGGGGAAUAUUGCACAAUGGGCGCAAGCCUGAUGCAGCCAUGCCGCGUGUGUGAAGAAGGCCUUCGGGUUGUAAAGCACUUUCAGCGGGGAGGAAGGCGGUGAGGUUAAUAACCUCAUCGAUUGACGUUACCCGCAGAAGAAGCACCGGCUAACUCCGUGCCAGCAGCCGCGGUAAUACGGAGGGUGCAAGGGUUAAUCGGAAUGACUGGGCGUAAAGCGCACGCAGGCGGUUUGUUAAGUCAGAUGUGAAAUCCCCGAGCUUAACUUGGGAACUGCAUUUGAAACUGGCAAGCUAGAGUCUUGUAGAGGGGGGUAGAAUUCCAGGUGUAGCGGUGAAAUGCGUAGAGAUCUGGAGGAAUACCGGUGGCGAANGCGGCCCCCUGGACAAAGACUGACGCUCAUGUGCAAAAGCGUGGGGAGCAAACAGGAUUAG